AUGGACCAUUCCAUCCCUUUUUCCCGUGCAUAUGCAUCGGACUCGGAUGACGAUGGUCCCGACGAACAAGUUGAUGCGGAGGGGUUCACGGUGAAGGAGGCCGAAGCUUUCGAGAAGGUAUUCGGUCGUGAUCAUCGGACUAUAUUGUUCAAGGAUGCUAGUCUAGCAGAUGAAGCCGUUGUAGAUGGUGGCCAAUGUAUAUCUGUUGGGGUUAGGCCAAGCUCUCAC
Molecule: ribosomal RNA, 228 nt
Filed under: Triticum aestivum (bread wheat)
Lineage: Eukaryota; Viridiplantae; Streptophyta; Magnoliopsida; Poales; Poaceae
Description: partial small subunit ribosomal RNA
Source: RNAcentral